Molecule: long non-coding RNA, 424 nt
Organism: Pieris rapae (cabbage white)
Lineage: Eukaryota; Metazoa; Arthropoda; Insecta; Lepidoptera; Pieridae
Exons: 3
Source: RefSeq, a predicted model, not a curated record
UCAGAAACAGCACUAUAAUAAGAAACAUAUUAAAUGCUUCACAAAUUAAAUGCCUCAAAGUCCAUGUCACAUUGUCUAUAUAGUGCUUUCCUUUAUAACUUCAUAUUUUCUUGAGUCAUUUCAAACUGUUAUAUAGUGAUAUAAUAUGAAGUUUGUAGAGUGAUGUGGAUGAGGAGGAAGGUAGGGCCAAUAGGGAGCAUCUGUCUGGGACUGGCAGGCUGCAGCUAAGCCCGCCCAGCAAAACUUGUACGCAUAUCGCUUUCCGGGGACCUGGUAAUAAUGUUCUGAAUUAGCCAAGCGGAGGUCGAGGCCUGGUGUUCUGGCAACGGCUCUGGUGGUGGCCGGCCCUUUGCCUCCGCAUGCACGUGCUGCACAUAAGUGUGGAAGAUGCGCGCCGCUUCCGUCUUGCCCUCGCACACCUGAA